Molecule: microRNA precursor, 169 nt
Filed under: Oryza brachyantha (malo sina)
Lineage: Eukaryota; Viridiplantae; Streptophyta; Magnoliopsida; Poales; Poaceae
Description: MIR812 microRNA precursor family
Rfam family: MIR812 microRNA precursor family
Source: Rfam by way of RNAcentral
AUUAAUGUUUUGAUUUUUCGUCUUAUUUAAAAAAUUUUUUGAGAUAAAUAUUUUUAUUCUUAUACUAGAUGAUAAAACAUGAAUAAUACUUUAUGUGUGACUAAUUUUUUUAAUUUUUUUAUAAAUUUUUUAAAUAAGACGAAUGGUCAAAUGUUGGACACGGAAAAAC